GGAAGUUAAGAAACUGUUUAUUAAUUUUUAACUAAAAAAGCUAAGAACCGGUUCUUAAAUAAGGAUUUUAAGAACCGGUUCUUAGCUUUUUUAGUUAAAAGUUAAGAAAUAGUUUCUUAAUUUCC
Brassica oleracea var. oleracea is the source of this 125-nucleotide microRNA precursor. It matches the Rfam family "MIR9563 microRNA precursor family". Lineage: Eukaryota; Viridiplantae; Streptophyta; Magnoliopsida; Brassicales; Brassicaceae. The record is from Rfam.